CCCUAUGGGGCGCACCAUUUCCUUUAUACCUGAAUAAUACUUCAGAUUAUUUAAUUGGAAAGGAAAUUACUGCUGAUAUUUUUGAUGAUUUAGAGGAUAUAAUAAAUAGCGAGAUAUCUCCUAUAGAUGAUGUAAGAGGAAGUGCAGAAUAUAAGCGAGUUUUAUUAUUUCAAUUGAUUAAGAUGCAUUUUAUCAAAUAUUAUCCCCAAUUAAUCGAAGAUUUAGUAUGAAUAAUUUUGAUUAUAUAAAACAUUUACGUGGAGAAUCAGUAUUCAUAGAUGAUGUGCCUGUGCCGCAAGGAACUCUAUAUGCAUAUAUUUAUGGAGCUGAAUAUGCUAACGGAAAAAUAAUAUCAUUGGACAUGAAAGAAGCGGAAAAAUGUGAAGGGGUAAAAUGCAUACUAACAUAUAAAGAUAUUCCGGGAGAAAACCAAAUUGGCGGGGGGGC
RNAcentral lists this ribosomal RNA (447 nucleotides) under uncultured prokaryote. RNAcentral's name for it is "partial 16S ribosomal RNA". The record is from RNAcentral.